Molecule: transfer RNA, 88 nt
Filed under: Anaplasmataceae bacterium
Lineage: Bacteria; Pseudomonadati; Pseudomonadota; Alphaproteobacteria; Rickettsiales; Anaplasmataceae
Description: tRNA-Ser
Rfam family: tRNA
About the family: Transfer RNA (tRNA) molecules are approximately 80 nucleotides in length. Their secondary structure includes four short double-helical elements and three loops (D, anti-codon, and T loops).
Source: RNAcentral
GGAUGGGUGGCCGAGCGGUUUAAGGCACCAGUCUUGAAAACUGGCGUGCGGCAACGUACCGGGAGUUCGAAUCUCUCCCCAUCCGCCA